This 423-nucleotide ribosomal RNA is filed under the name Triticum aestivum (bread wheat). RNAcentral describes it as "partial small subunit ribosomal RNA". The record is from RNAcentral. Lineage: Eukaryota; Viridiplantae; Streptophyta; Magnoliopsida; Poales; Poaceae.
CCCAAGGUCCCGGGCGCCUCAGACAUCUGCUAGUUUUGCCCCAUUACGGUGAUCAAUGUGAUCUUCCGCAUUCUCGCAAACGGGUACACCAAUAGGGUGGCCCCUUUGGCUGGCCGCAUCACUCACCUGGACCAAUUCGCCUUUAUUCAGGGCCGGUAUAUCUUAGAUGGGGUCUUGGUCUUUCACGAAGUCAUGCACGAGGUCUGGACCAAAAACAUCAAAGCAGUAUUCCUGAAGAUUGACUUCCAUAAGGCGUACAACAUAGUUAGUUGGCCCUUCCUUCGGGAAGUGUUGCCUAGAAAAGGGUUUGACGAUCGAUGGGUCUCCCGGGUUAUGCAGAUGGUGUCGUUUGGGCGCACCGCGGUGAACAUUAAUGGGGAAAUCAGACCCUAUUUCCCCCACUGUAAGGGCAUUUAUCCCUAA